Molecule: non-coding RNA, 104 nt
Organism: Callithrix jacchus (white-tufted-ear marmoset)
Lineage: Eukaryota; Metazoa; Chordata; Mammalia; Primates; Cebidae
Source: Rfam
UUUUUUUUGUAGUUUCUAAGAGUGAUGGUUGGGUUUUCACACUCAUGUGUGAGAUAUGCCACCCUCAAACCUUAUUACCACCUGGGCACAUUAUCCAUCUGAUG